Molecule: ribosomal RNA, 421 nt
Filed under: Streptococcus mutans
Lineage: Bacteria; Bacillati; Bacillota; Bacilli; Lactobacillales; Streptococcaceae
Description: bacterial SSU rRNA
Rfam family: Bacterial small subunit ribosomal RNA
Source: RNAcentral
GACGAACGCUGGCGGCGUGCCUAAUACAUGCAAGUGGGACGCAAGAGAACACACUGUGCUUGCACACCGUGUUUUCUUGAGUCGCGAACGGGUGAGUAACGCGUAGGUAACCUGCCUAUUAGCGGGGGAUAACUAUUGGAAACGAUAGCUAAUACCGCAUAAUAUUAAUUAUUGCAUGAUAAUUGAUUGAAAGAUGCAAGCGCAUCACUAGUAGAUGGACCUGCGUUGUAUUAGCUAGUUGGUAAGGUAAGAGCUUACCAAGGCGACGAUACAUAGCCGACCUGAGAGGGUGAUCGGCCACACUGGGACUGAGACACGGCCCAGACUCCUACGGGAGGCAGCAGUAGGGAAUCUUCGGCAAUGGACGAAAGUCUGACCGAGCAACGCCGCGUGAGUGAAGAAGGUUUUCGGAUCGUAAAGC